ACCCGCUGAACUUAAGCAUAUCAAUAAGCGGAGGAAAAGAAACUAACCAGGAUUCCCCUAGUAGCGGCGAGCGAACCGGGAAGAGCCCAAA
Molecule: ribosomal RNA, 91 nt
Filed under: Asterochloris phycobiontica
Lineage: Eukaryota; Viridiplantae; Chlorophyta; Trebouxiophyceae; Trebouxiales; Trebouxiaceae
Description: partial 26 S ribosomal RNA
Rfam family: Eukaryotic large subunit ribosomal RNA
Source: RNAcentral